This 720-nucleotide ribosomal RNA is filed under the name uncultured bacterium. RNAcentral's name for it is "bacterial SSU rRNA". It matches the Rfam family "Bacterial small subunit ribosomal RNA", at positions 112 to 827 of the family's 1533-position model. The record is from RNAcentral.
AAUGCUUAGGAAUCUGCCUAUUAGUGGGGGACAACAUUCCGAAAGGAAUGCUAAUACCGCAUACGUCCUACGGGAGAAAGCAGGGGAUCUUCGGACCUUGCGCUAAUAGAUGAGCCUAAGUCGGAUUAGCUAGUUGGUGGGGUAAAGGCCUAGCAAGGCGACGAUCUGUAGCGGGUCCGAGAGGAUGAUCCGCCACACUGGGACUGAGACACGGCCCAGANNCNNACGGGAGGCAGCAGUGGGGAAUAUUGGACAAUGGGGGGAACCCUGAUCCAGCCAUGCCGCGUGUGUGAAGAAGGCCUUAUGGUUGUAAAGCACUUUAAGCGAGGAGGAGGCUACUGAGACUAAUACUCUUGGAUAGUGGACGUUACUCGCAGAAUAAGCACCGGCUAACUCUGUGCCAGCAGCCGCGGUAAUACAGAGGGUGCGAGCGUUAAUCGGAUUUACUGGGCGUAAAGCGUGCGUAGGCGGCUUUUUAAGUCGGAUGUGAAAUCCCCGAGCUUAACUUGGGAAUUGCAUUCGAUACUGGGAAGCUAGAGUAUGGGAGAGGAUGGUAGAAUUCCAGGUGUAGCGGUGAAAUGCGUAGAGAUCUGGAGGAAUACCGAUGGCGAAGGCAGCCAUCUGGCCUAAUACUGACGCUGAGGUACGAAAGCAUGGGGAGCAAACAGGAUUAGAUACCCUGGUAGUCCAUGCCGUAAACGAUGUCUACUAGCCGUUGGG